AUUCCGGCGGCCCACGCAGGGGCGGAGCGGAGCCGUGUGGGGCGGAGUCGCAUCCGGGAGGGACGGUCCGACCUUCGUUGGGGGCGGGCGGGCGGAGCGGAGGCCGCGGCGGGGCGGGGAGCCAAGGGCGAUGCCUCUGUACAACUUAGACCAGACCCAUUGUUCCAGGCUAUAAACCAUUUAGUUUUAAGAAUUAUAUUCUGAAAAAUUAAGAAUUUUUUUAUGGUUAUGAUCUGCAACUGUACCAUAUUACUUCAGACUCACAAACAUCAGUUAAUGACAUAGGUGUUAUUAAGAAGCCUCACUUCUAUUGUUUCCGAAAAAGGGCUGCUCCUCAUGAAAGCUUUAUGAAACAUAUUGGCAAAUAACAACUUCUGCAUGGUAUUUAAAAUGAGAUGGUUCUGGUCAUUGAACUCCGGCUCUAAGGUGAAGUAAAACACUGUUCCCUUGGAGAAAUUAAUUUGGGUACUUUUUGCUAAAAAUCUCUUAACAGUUAAAAGGUCUUAACAAAGUUAAGAUAGGUCUCAUAUAGGAAUGUUUUUGAUUACUUUGUGCUUUGGAGCUUAUUGACAUUUUCAGGUUAUCUUCAUUCUCUUCAGAAGACUUCAUAUUGGAAUCUAUGAAUUCUCUAAUAGCUAGAGUAAAACAGAACAAAAUAAAGCUAUAAUUUAAAUUAUAAUCCAUUUCCCACCAGAGUGAUAAACCAUACAAGUACCAUUUUUAUUUGGCAUUUUACUGCCAUACUAUCCAUAUCUUGCAAAUUUCUUGCAAAAUGGUUACAAGAAGUUAUUUUGGAUCAAGUGUCUUCUUUUGUCUGCUGUUUAAGCUUUAAUAGCACCUCAAUAUUAAUAUUCUAGUAAGCAUUGGAUUUAAAAUUAAUUAAGCUAUCUUUAAUAAAUUUUUAAAUGCCCAAUAGAAUAAGAAUUUUAAAUUACAAAAAUUCUUGCAAUACUACAUUUUGGUCAGAAUUUUACAAUGGCAAAUAGAAUCAGGAAUGUUUUAAAACUUUUUAAAACAAAAUUAUUUUGAUAAAUAAUAUUUAGUGUUUUAAUAAUAUAAGCCUAUCUUUUUCUUUCUGUUUUGCUCCUUUGGGUUUUUUUUUUUAGCUUUCUCAAAAUAGCUCAAGUUAGUAUAUAUUACUAAGUAUACUUUCAUUUUGAUCUUUAAAAAUAACCUAGUCCCAUGGUCUGUAUCUGCCCUUCCAACUGUAAGAUUGUAGAAUAAGAACUCAAUAAUAUUUUGGAUAGCAUUUUAGAUGGUAGAUAUGGUGCUUUGAACUUCAUUAUCUACUUAGAUGUAGUUGCAAUUUAAUAUUGAUGUCCUCUCCACCAGUAUAAAUUACAACCCCUUUAUACCUUCAUCUUUUGUAUGUUUUUUCAUUCAGUUCUUUUCAUAAAUCCUCCAUAGGAAUUGGGGAGGAGGAGGGUUCCAUCCAAUGUACUGAAGACUUCCUCUGUUUCUUUUAAUAUCUCAUUAUAGUGCUUUCCAUUUGUUUCUAAUUCUCACUACAUGACUUUGCUUACACAUAUCCUUAAUUAUAUCUUCUCUACAAAUAAACCUAUUUAUAUCUACCAUGUAUCCUUGAAACAGUCUUGAAAUCAUCUAUAAUUCUGAUUACUAGGAAAUUGUGUUAUUAUUUUAUUUGAAGCUAUUGAAUGCUGUUGGUAUUUAAAAAUUGAGUUUUUGCAGCAGCAGAAUCAUCAGAGGUUCUAUAGUUUGCCAAAUGUGAUUCAGCCUGAUAUUGCUUACUUAAUUUUGAGCUUAGUUAAUUAUUCUUCUGCAACACUUUUCCAUAGUUGGACUGUAUAGUUGCACUAAUUGAGUGGGCUAGUAGCCUGUCAUAAUCUGAACAACUUCAUUUUUCCAUUUUAGAUUGGUAAUCUUUUAAAAAUUUUUACCAGUUUCACUGAGGUGCCUCAAGAGUGUGCUAUGAUUUCAGCAAGUAAUACAAUGUAAUCUAUAAUUAGAGCACUUAGAAAAACCUCACCAUCAAAAGGGGAUCGUUUUUGUUUGGACUCUACAAGACAUCUAAUGUACUGGCAGACAUUAUAGAUGAGCAUAUAUCUCUCUGGUUAUAUGCCUUGUAUGUGAUGUCAGUGUUAGGCAGAUCAAAUAAAAUUAAUCUCCAUAGGCAUAAUUAUCAUUAAAUCUUAUUUAAUCUUAACAUAUUCCCUGUCCUGCCUUUAAGGCUUUGCUUAUAAAUUUUCUCAUGCUUAGAAUAGACAUCCCUAGCUCCAUAUGCAUAUCAUGACCAUGCCUUUUUUCCAUCUCUUCCAUAAAUUCAAUUGCAAGCUCCUCCAUAAAACUUUCCGACACAUUUUUCCCUUUUCCUGUUCCAAGUGAAAGUGAUCUUACCCUCAUUGAAAUUCUCAUGGCAUUUUGCUUAGACCUAGAAUUGACAUUUAUCUCACUUUCCUUCACUUCAUAGGGUUUAGGUGUUUUUUUUUUUCUUUACUGAUCACAUUUUCCCUCAUAUCAGACUGC
Monodelphis domestica (gray short-tailed opossum) is the source of this 2484-nucleotide non-coding RNA. The record is from RefSeq and is a predicted model, not a curated record. NCBI's taxonomy places the organism in Eukaryota, Metazoa, Chordata, Mammalia, Didelphimorphia, Didelphidae.